UGGGGAAUUUUGGACAAUGGGCGAAAGCCUGAUCCAGCAAUGCCGCGUGAGUGAAGAAGGCCUUCGGGUUGUAAAGCUCUUUUGUCAGGGAAGAAACGGUGAGAGCUAAUAUCUUUUGCUAAUGACGGUACCUGAAGAAUAAGCACCGGCUAACUACGUGCCAGCAGCCGCGGUAAUACGUAGGGUGCAAGCGUUAAUCGGAAUUACUGGGCGUAAAGCGUGCGCAGGCGGUUUUGUAAGUCUGAUGUGAAAUCCCCGGGCUCAACCUGGGAAUUGCAUUGGAGACUGCAAGGCUAGAAUCUGGCAGAGGGGGGUAGAAUUCCACGUGUAGCAGUGAAAUGCGUAGAUAUGUGGAGGAACACCGAUGGCGAAGGCAGCCCCCUGGGUCAAGAUUGACGCUCAUGCACGAAAGCGUGGGGAGCAAACAGGAUUAGAUACCCUUGUAGUCCCUGAGCGGGCUGGCAAGGCGCAU
This 472-nucleotide ribosomal RNA is filed under the name uncultured bacterium. RNAcentral describes it as "bacterial SSU rRNA". It matches the Rfam family "Bacterial small subunit ribosomal RNA", at positions 355 to 825 of the family's 1533-position model. The record is from RNAcentral.